CAGUCGCCGCGGUAAUACGAAGGGGGCUAGCGUUGUUCGGAAUUACUGGGCGUAAAGCGUGCGUAGGCGGUGAGUUAAGUCUGCUGUGAAAUCCCCGGGCUCAACCUGGGAAUGGCAGUGGAUAUUGGCUCGCUAGAGUGUGUCAGAGGAUGGUGGAAUUCCCGGUGUAGCGGUGAAAUGCGUAGAUAUCGGAAGGAACACCUGUGGCGAAAGCGGCUCACUGGACCAUAACUGACGCUGAUGCACGAAAGCUAGGGGAGCAAACAGGAUUAGAUACCCGCGUAGUCCCUGUCUCUUAUAC
This 301-nucleotide ribosomal RNA is filed under the name uncultured bacterium. RNAcentral's name for it is "partial 16S ribosomal RNA". It matches the Rfam family "Bacterial small subunit ribosomal RNA", at positions 509 to 807 of the family's 1533-position model. The record is from RNAcentral.